RNAcentral lists this ribosomal RNA (459 nucleotides) under uncultured bacterium. RNAcentral describes it as "bacterial SSU rRNA". It matches the Rfam family "Bacterial small subunit ribosomal RNA", at positions 28 to 484 of the family's 1533-position model. The record is from RNAcentral.
GAUGAACGCUAGCGGCAGGCCUAAUACAUGCAAGUCGAACGGAUAUAUGUUUUUCGGAAUAUAUAUUAGUGGCGCACGGGUGAGUAACACGUACAUAACUUGCCCUCAAGCGGGGGAUAGCCUUGGGAAACUGAGAGUAAUACCCCAUAGAAUUAUUGGACGGCAUCGUUUGAUAAUUAAAACUACGGUGCUUGGGGAUAGAUGUGCGUCUGAUUAGCUAGUUGGUGAGGUAACUGCUCACCAAGGCGACGAUCAGUAGGGGGCGUGAGAGCGUGGCCCCCCACACGGGUACUGAGACACGGACCCGACUCCUACGGGAGGCAGCAGUAAGGAUAUUGGUCAAUGGAGGGAACUCUGAACCAGCCAUGCCGCGUGAAGGAUGACGGCCCUCUGGGUUGUAAACUUCUUUUGGAUGGGGCGAAAAAACGGGAUUUAUGCUGAUCUAGACGGUACCAGAGG